ACAAAACUCGCAAAUUUCCCUUGUUUCCCAACUAUUAUAAUCGACAUUCACCACUUUCCCAGUGUCCUGCUAUGAGACGUAGCAGCUUCUUAUUGUAGAACCUGUAAGGGAGGCCCAGUAGUCUCAUCCAUACGACGAUCUUUGAAUGGUGUUUCUCCUUCGUAGGGAAGUCAGAGCUUCAAGGCUGAAUCGUAAGAUAGUUACCAUAGACUACUCAAGGCCCUUCUAUCAAAGCUUUGGUAUAAUCCUGGUACACAUCAAACUUUAGAAGGUACUAGUUAUUAUCGAUAUCAAUAACUUGGAACAAACCCACAUGCUUCCAAAGAAUUUAAAUUCUGUUGAGUAGUGAUUUGUAACCGAUUGAACAUCCUAGUAGCCUCACCACCACCUUCUGCUUCAUGUUUCUAUCCUGUAUUUCUUGUACUCAAUCGGAGAAGAAAAUCUAUGGAUAAUGGUUAUCCAAAGAGACUUUGACACCCCCUUCCAAAAUCUCAAAAUCGCCAUUUUCUAACCCUUCAUCUACACCACCAACGAAGCCUCCAACAUUCGUCAUUAGCUGAUCUUUGAAUGACACUUUUGCCAAGCCAAUGUCCUCCAUGGAUAGCUCUUCUGGAGGAGACUCCCCUGAAAUC
This 632-nucleotide long non-coding RNA is filed under the name Gossypium barbadense (sea-island cotton). RNAcentral's name for it is "long non-coding RNA (GBAR_LNC014386)". The record is from RNAcentral. Lineage: Eukaryota; Viridiplantae; Streptophyta; Magnoliopsida; Malvales; Malvaceae.